Molecule: ribosomal RNA, 570 nt
Filed under: uncultured fungus
Lineage: Eukaryota; Fungi
Description: eukaryotic LSU rRNA
Rfam family: Eukaryotic large subunit ribosomal RNA
Source: RNAcentral
AAACCAACAGGGAUUGCCUCAGUAACGGCGAGUGAAGCGGCAACAGCUCAAAUUUGAAAUCUGGCCCCCCCCGGGGUCCGAGUUGUAAUUUGUAGAGGAUGCUUCGGGGCAGCCACCGGUCUAAGUUCCUUGGAACAGGACGUCACAGAGGGUGAGAAUCCCGUACGUGGCCGGAAGGGCACCCCGUGUGAAGCUCCUUCGACGAGACGGGUUGUUUGGGAAUGCAGCCCUAAAUGGGAGGUAAAUUUCUUCUAAAGCUAAAUACCGGCCAGAGACCGAUAGCGCACAAGUAGAGUGAUCGAAAGAUGAAAAGCACUUUGGAAAGAGAGUUAAAAAGCACGUGAAAUUGUUGAAAGGGAAGCGCUUGCGAUCAGUCUCGACGGCGGCGGUUCAGCCGGUCUUCUGACCGGUCCACUCCGCCGCCGCCGGGCCAGCAUCGGUUUCGACGGUCGGACAAAGGUCGCGGGAACGUGGCCCCCUCGGGGGUGUUAUAGCCCGCGGCGCAAUACGACCAGUCGGGACCGAGGUCCGCGCUUCGGCUAGGAUGCUGGCGAAAUGGUCGUAAGCGGC